UGCCUCUCAACAUCAACUGAAAAAGAAUCACAAAGUCAAGACUUUUUUCAGCAUGUAGUUGUUAUUUAGUUUUUGUUUGCAGGUGGAUUGGACUUAUGCAUGUACUAAUAUGUACACCUACCACAAUUCAUAUAAAUGAAGCCACACUAUUCAAAUAAUUCCUUAGCUGUAAAGAAUUCAUUUAAUAUCAUACAAAGAUAAAUAUAUAAUUCAUAUCAUACAAAACAUAGACAAUUGACAAACAUCAAAGAUGAAGAAAAAUCUUUAUCCACAGGAAAUCUAAAAAAAUCUUUAGUACAUGUUACAGUAUCAGAAUAUGCAUCAUGAAUGAGUUUCAGUUAUAGAAGAAAUAUCUGCUCCCUGCUAUUUCUUUUUCAGCUGUUUCCACCAUUAGUUCUCUUGAAAAAAAAUGCACAAGAAUUAAAAGAAGGUAAGGCUUAAUGAAGGUCUAGAAUAAUAAGCCCAUUUUUCCCUCCCUUGAGUUGGCAUGGAAGACAGGAAUCAGGAUAAGCAUAGGACAUUAUUUCAUUGGGAGACUUCAAUAGUGGCACUGGCACAUCAAAAAUUGGAUAAUACCUUCUUUCUGUGCACAUAAUGGGUUGAAGCACCAACCAAUACCAACCAACUUCAUUAACAUAUGGGAGAAGAAGACCAAGACUAGGACAUCCUACAGAGGAAGAGACAGCCAUGCAAAAGAAUAUCUAAAUUUCAAAGAGGAAGCCGGAUGCAAGCUUUUUUUGACAUACAUGGAAUAACUUAAAUCAUCCUAGAGAAAAUAUUUAACAAUUCAAGAUUCUAUAAACAUAUUUAUGAUACAGUCCCAGAAACAUUCAUUCCUAACCAAGCCCAUUGUUCCUCUAAAAUAAGAAUAACAACUUAAGAAAAAGAAAGUAUAAAAUUGAAAAUGACGAGGUGUUUAACAAAAUUACUCUAAUUUUCACCAAAAUGCACACUAAAUCAAGGAAUUAAAACUUAAAAGCAAAGCUGGGCUUUCAAACAGAGAUGCAAUAAGAAUUUUAUGGAUCAAGUGGUUAAUUUUGCAAGCAAGAACACCUCUGUAAUCGGAUCUAGUUACCCAACAGUAGCGCUUAAAUUCG
RNAcentral lists this unclassified non-coding RNA (1097 nucleotides) under Hevea brasiliensis (rubber tree). The record is from RNAcentral. Lineage: Eukaryota; Viridiplantae; Streptophyta; Magnoliopsida; Malpighiales; Euphorbiaceae.